UAGUCUGCAACUCGACUACAUGAAGCUGGAAUCGCUAGUAAUCGCAGAUCAGAAUGCUGCGGUGAAUACGUUCCCGGGUCUUGUACACACCGCCCGUCACACCAUGGGAGUCGGAAAUGCCCGAAGCCGGUGACCCAACCAAAAGGAGGGAGCCGUCGAAGGCAGGUCUGAUAACUGGGGUGAAGUCGUAACAAGGUAAC
RNAcentral lists this ribosomal RNA (200 nucleotides) under uncultured bacterium. RNAcentral's name for it is "partial 16S ribosomal RNA". It matches the Rfam family "Bacterial small subunit ribosomal RNA", at positions 1301 to 1500 of the family's 1533-position model. The record is from RNAcentral.